RNAcentral lists this long non-coding RNA (795 nucleotides) under Mus pahari (shrew mouse). Its description in RNAcentral is "lncRNA (MGP_PahariEiJ_G0004130.1)". Lineage: Eukaryota; Metazoa; Chordata; Mammalia; Rodentia; Muridae. The record is from RNAcentral.
AGACCAUUGAGUUUUGUUGUCAACCUCAUACAAGAAGCCUCUUCAGUUGGAUUCUUAUUAGUGAUGCAUAUCAUCACUUGAAUCAACAAGUGUCACUUCUGUUAUCAGCAAAGCCUAUUGCUCCAAGGCCCUGCUUCACAGAUGAGCACAGAAAGAGAAACCACAGGGUCAAGACCACAACUUCUAGAUGAGACAUCCGAAGCCCAGGAACCAAAAGAGCCGCUGAGAGUCAACUCGAGAAAGACACCCCCCUUAUUCAGGAGCAAAAACUGCAGUAGUUAGAUUCCUUCAGCAUUAACUACAAAGAUACCUUAGGGCCAAAGUAUAGGACAGGGAAGCUGCUCACUAGACUAGAUUUCCUCACAAGAUGAAGCAAGAGAGUCUCACUGAAAGCCUACGAUCCUGGCUUCAUCCUCUGGUCCUACAAUUUACAAGCCUUUGGCUUAAGUUGACAGUGCCCUACACGGUGCCUUCGGUAUGCUGGCUGUCAAGUGAGGGCUCUAGGCAUCCCAAUUCUGGCCUCCCACGUGGUUAGUCAGUUUUACAGCUGAUGAAGGUAGGGCUCCAACACUAGACUUUGUAUCAGGCAACAUUUAACUGUUGCAAAUGCUGGGAUUCUGCAGUCCUGUCUUACCCAUGAUCAGAAAGAAGAAUGCCUUACCAUUUUGCUAAGGACUGUGAACUCUCAUCCCUGGAUUUCUGGUCUCUUUGACAGAUUUUUCUUUCUUCUUCCUUUCUGGUAUUGCAGAAUGCUGCCACUGACUACCAACUAAGUGAUAUGAAGCUUUAGGAGUC